CCUACGGGAUGCUGCAGUGAGGAAUAUUGGUCAAUGGCCGGAAGGCUGAACCAGCCAUGCCGCGUGAAGGUCAGUGCCCUAUGGGCGUUAAACUUCUUUUGUGCGGGAGCAAUAAUGGUCACGUGUGGCCAGACGAGAGUACCGUACGAAUAAGCAUCGACUAACUCCGUGCCAGCAGCCGCGGUAAUACGGGGGAUGCAAGCGUUAUCCGGAUGUAUUGGGUUUAAAGGGUGCGUAGGCUGUGAGGUAAGUCAGCGUGGAAAUGCCCCCGGUGAACGGGGUGAAGUGCCAUUGAUACUGCCUUCCGUGAAUGCCGAGGCGGUGGGAGGAAUGUGGUGGGUAGCGGUGAAAUGCAUAGAUAUCACACAGAACACCGAUUGAGAAGGCAUCUCACGAAUCCGCGAUUGACGCUGAUGCACGAAAGCGUGGGUAUCAAACAGGAUUAGAUACCCUUGUAGUC
This 460-nucleotide ribosomal RNA is filed under the name uncultured bacterium. RNAcentral describes it as "partial 16S ribosomal RNA". It matches the Rfam family "Bacterial small subunit ribosomal RNA", at positions 338 to 795 of the family's 1533-position model. The record is from RNAcentral.